Molecule: ribosomal RNA, 253 nt
Filed under: uncultured bacterium
Lineage: Bacteria
Description: partial 16S ribosomal RNA
Rfam family: Bacterial small subunit ribosomal RNA
Source: RNAcentral
GACGAACCGAGCGAACGUUGUUCGGAAUCACUGGGCUUAAAGGGCGCGUAGGCGGGCCUGCCAGUCUGUGGUGAAAUCCUCCGGCUCAACCGGAGAACUGCCUCGGAUACUGCGGGUCUCGAGGGUGAUAGGGGUAUGCGGAACUAUCGGUGGAGCGGUGAAAUGCGUUGAUAUCGAUAGGAACUCCGGUGGCGAAGGCGGCCUUCUGGACAGUGACUGACGCUGAGACGCGAAAGCGUGGGGAGCAAACAGG